GACGAACGCUGGCGGCGUGCUUAACACAUGCAAGUCGAACGGAAAGGCCUGCUUUCCCUUGUGGAUUGCGGGUACUCGAGUGGCGAACGGGUGAGUAACACGUGAGUGAUCUGCCCCCAACUUGGGUAUAAGCCUGGGAAACUGGGUCUAAUUCCCGAUAGGACUGCAGGGUGGUGCCUGUGGUGGAAAACGAUUUUCUAGUGGUUGGGGAUGAGCUCGCGGCCUAUCAGCUUGUUGGUGGGGUAAUGGCCUACCAAGGCGGCGACGGGUAGCCGGCCUGGGAGGGCGGACGGCCACAGUGGGACUGAGAUACGGCCCAGACUCCUACGGGAGGCAGCAGUGGGGAAUAUUGCACAAUGGGCGGAAGCCUGAUGCAGCGACGCCGCGUGGGGGAUGACGGCCGUCGGGUUGUAAACUCCUUUCGACCGCGAGGAAGCCACCUGGUUGGAAGGGUGGUGACGGUAGUGGUAGAAGAAGCACCGGCUAACUACGUG
Molecule: ribosomal RNA, 494 nt
Filed under: uncultured bacterium
Lineage: Bacteria
Description: partial 16S ribosomal RNA
Rfam family: Bacterial small subunit ribosomal RNA
Source: RNAcentral